This 2397-nucleotide unclassified non-coding RNA is filed under the name Hevea brasiliensis (rubber tree). Lineage: Eukaryota; Viridiplantae; Streptophyta; Magnoliopsida; Malpighiales; Euphorbiaceae. The record is from RNAcentral.
GUGCAACUAAUUUUUUCUCUUUAAAACCAAAUUGAAUAGAUAUAAUCAAGAUUUUAAAAUAUAAAAUCGAACCGAACUAAAUUAUUUUAAAAAUCAAAUCAAAAUACUAAAUUAACACGAUUUGAUUCAAUUUAUUCUAUUCAAAUUAAACAGUGCUCACCCCUACCUACCUUCCCUUUCACUAUUGCUCCAAGAGAGAGAAGUGAAAGAUGACUGGAAUUUUUUAAUAUCUUCAGACGUUGGGUGAUAUGAAUAGCCCCCACCAUGAGAAUAAUUCAACCACAUAUCUUUAGACUUGGUAUGUUGGAGCAGAUAUGCAUUCAUAUCAUCAAUUUCAGGCUCGUUCUUGCCCUCCAAGAUCUUCACUGCUUGCCUCAUUUUUGGCCGGGAACUAGGCUCAGGAUAUGUGCACAACAAGCCUAAAUGAAGUAUUCUCUCCACUUCUUCCUCAUCAAACCCUCCUCUAGCCUUUAUCCUUGGAUCAAGAGCAUCGAGUAACUGUCCUUGCGUCAUUGACUGCCAUACCAAUUCUAUCAAUGGUGGCUUCCCUUCCUCUAUUGGCCUCCUUCCACACAUCACCUCCAAAAUCAAUACCCCAAAACCGAACACAUCUGUUUGAGCUGACGCUCGACCACUGCGAACCACCUCAGGGGCCAAGUACCCAACCGUUCCAACCACCCGUGUGGUGAUAGCCAUCUGACCAUGGCUGUGCAUCCUGGCUAGGCCAAAAUCACCUAACCUUCCAUUCAUUUCCUGGUCCAGUAACACAUUGCUGGCCUUAAUGUCUCUAUGUAGGACUUUAGACUCCCAUCCCUCGUGCAAAUACAGUACUCCUGAAGCAACAUCUUUCAAUAUCCUUAUUCUUUCUUCACAGCUUAACAUUUUAUUCUCAUCACAAUUGAACACUCUCUUAUCCAAACUCCCAUUUUCCAUAUAAUCAUAGACCAGACUGAAGCUUCCUUUUUCUCUCUUGCACCAAGCUCUCAACCCAACCAAGCUCCUGUGCUUCAAUCUUCCAAGACUCGAAAUUUCAGCCAAAAACUCUCUCAUCCCAUUAUUUUCAUGUGAAAUUCGCUUCACUGCAACCUCUUCCCCUCCUGGCAAUACACCCUUAUAGACCUUUCCAUUUCCUCCAAAUCCAAUGACAUUUUGUUCACUGAAUCCUUUUGUUGCUGUCUCAAUUUCUUGAUAAGUAAUUCUAUGUGGCCAAUAUUCCAAUUCCCAUUCCUCCAUGUUCGCUCUCGCCCUUGCCAUCCUCUGCUUCCUCCUAGCAUAAAACAAAGUAAUCAAAGCAACAGCGACAAUAACCGCGAAACCUCCAAGCACGGCACCGGCAAUGAACGCCUUAGACCGAAAAAAGGAACCUUUUAGAGGAACAAAGGAUGGCAACCCAGUUGUAAUCAAACUUUCACUUAAAGAAAAAUUGGAAUCACUAUAGCUCCAAGCCAGAAUCUUGUGACUCUCAUCAAGUUUUCCUGUUGCAGAAGUGAACCCAACAUACAUUUCUUCCUCAAAAACAUCAGAAAGAUUAAUAGAAACAUUUAACAAAGGCCGAGUAGGCCUUUUCAUGCCAACAGGAGCCAUAGUAAUAUUAAUUAAAGAAUCUGCAUAAUCUAUCCAAACUUGGUAAUUUUCACCAUUAUUUAGCUUCAAUUUCUUGAAUGAACUCCUGUCGGCGCUGCUACUCUUUUUAUUGUCAGGCCAAUAUCCUGCCUCUUCAGCAAAUUUUGAUGUGAGGGAAUUCAGAUCUAUACCAACAUGGUUACUCUUCGUGUCAUUGAAUUCUUGGUUGGCGAACACAUCGAACUCGAUCCCAAACACAUGAUUGCUAGGAUUACCAUUAUUCGUGCGAUUAAAUAGGCCUAAGUAUUGGGCUGGGCUUGUACCAUUUAUCCCAAUAUGUGUUACAAAAAUGAAUAUCAGGCCAUGUCCUGGCAGGACGUUCUUGUAAGGAACCAUAGCAAAAAUGAAAGAAGUAGAAAAUGGAUAGACAUAAGAGGAGUUAGUAGCUUUGGUGGUUACUUUUGAUGGGUAUAGAGCACGACCUUCUCUGAAAGCUGUUCUGUUGGUAAGUGUGAGAAUACGAGAUUCAAUGGUGGCUGAGUCAUAGAGAAUCAAAUUGGAGGAAUUGAAGCCAUUGAAGACAAAAUCAAUAGCUGACAUGGGUCGACAAGAUAGGAUUAUAGGAAGCAGAAGUAAGAGAAGAGAAGGGUUUGGGUGUUUCUUCAUUGCAGACAUGGAAACAGAAAAGCCUCUGUUUCAUGGGAAACCUUAAAGAGGACGGCAGAGAAAGAUUAUGUUAGAUUUGAGCUAUUGGAGUGAAUUUGAGCAGGGAUUCUCACCGUAUUUAUGACACGUUCAGUGGGUUUCACUUUUUUUGGAUCCUAACAUGCUGAC